CAACUUUCAGCAACGGAUCUCUUGGCUCUCGCAUCGAUGAAGAACGCAGCGAAAUGCGAUAAGUAAUGUGAAUUGCAGAAUUCAGUGAAUCAUCGAAUCUUUGAACGCACCUUGCGCUCUUUGGUAUUCCGAGGAGCAUGCCUGUUUGAGUGUCAUGG
This 158-nucleotide ribosomal RNA is filed under the name Cyanosporus caesius. RNAcentral's name for it is "Postia caesia 5.8S ribosomal RNA". It matches the Rfam family "5.8S ribosomal RNA". From Rfam's summary of the family: 5.8S ribosomal RNA (5.8S rRNA) is a component of the large subunit of the eukaryotic ribosome. It is transcribed by RNA polymerase I as part of the 45S precursor that also contains 18S and 28S rRNA. Lineage: Eukaryota; Fungi; Basidiomycota; Agaricomycetes; Polyporales; Postiaceae. The record is from RNAcentral.